RNAcentral lists this ribosomal RNA (551 nucleotides) under Turridrupa sp. MW-2011. RNAcentral's name for it is "partial 16S ribosomal RNA". It matches the Rfam family "Bacterial large subunit ribosomal RNA", at positions 1802 to 2619 of the family's 2925-position model. The record is from RNAcentral. Lineage: Eukaryota; Metazoa; Mollusca; Gastropoda; Neogastropoda; Turridae.
GUUUACCAAAAACAUGGCUUCUUGAAAUUAAAAGCAUAAUAGGGAGUCGGACCUGCCCGGUGAAAAUUUUUAACGGCCGCGGUACUCUGACCGUGCAAAGGUAGCAUAAUCAUUUGCCUUAUAAUUGAAGGCUAGUAUGAAUGGUUUGACAAGAAUAUAACUGUCUCUUUAUAAUUAAUUAGAAUUUUAUUUUAAGGUGAAGAAGCCUUAAUGAGAUUAAAAGACAAGAAGACCCUAUCGAGCUUUAAAAAAAUUGAUAGAAAAACAUUAAUAAAUUUAAAAAAUUAAACUAUUAACUAUUUUGGUUGGGGCGACUGAGGAACAAACAAAGCUUCCUUUAAAAUAUUACAAACAUACAAGCACUUGAUCCAAGAUUUUUGAUUAAAGAAAUUAGUUACCGUAGGGAUAACAGCAUUAUCUUUUUUAAGAGCUCUUAUCGAAAAAAAGGUUUGUGACCUCGAUGUUGGACCAGAGUAUCCUAAAGAUGCAGAAGUCUUUAAGGGUUGGUCUGUUCGACCGUUAAAACUCUACGUGAUCUGAGUUCAGACCGG